Molecule: ribosomal RNA, 115 nt
Filed under: Crocodylus porosus (Australian saltwater crocodile)
Lineage: Eukaryota; Metazoa; Chordata; Crocodylia; Crocodylidae
Source: RNAcentral
UGUGUUGAUCUUGUCUGAAUGCAUCUGAUCUUGUCUCACCUUGGAAGCUAAGCAAUCCUGAGCCUAGCCAGUACUUGGAUGGGAGACUACCUUGAAUCCCAGGUACUAAAGAUAU